UCCAUCGUGAGGUGGAAUCUGAAGGAAGUCGGUGGCAAAACUCCGGUCUGAGGUACACGAAUCACAUUCGAGGCUUAACCCUGUGGAUGAGGUUGCACAACAAACCAAAGUCCUAAACUAUCCGAAACAGGGAAAGUAAAUGUGGCAGAUAUAUGGAGUGAAAGUUUACGUU
Non-coding RNA from Proteiniborus sp. DW1, 172 nucleotides. The record is from Rfam. NCBI's taxonomy places the organism in Bacteria, Bacillati, Bacillota, Clostridia, Eubacteriales.